Molecule: long non-coding RNA, 148 nt
Organism: Colossoma macropomum (tambaqui)
Lineage: Eukaryota; Metazoa; Chordata; Actinopteri; Characiformes; Serrasalmidae
Exons: 3
Source: RefSeq, a predicted model, not a curated record
AGGAGAUCACACAGAAGAUCACACAGCUGAGACCAGCCAGCAGUGGGAACCACGGUCCUCGACAGCAGCUGCCCUGAGGUUUAUCAUGGAUCGGCGUGAACUCCUCUUUGUGAUGAUUUGCCUCCUCCCAUCUCUAUUGCUUGGCUGU